CGGAGGGUGCAAGCGUUAUCCGGAUUCACUGGGUUUAAAGGGUGCGUAGGCGGGCAGGUAAGUCCGUGGUGAAAUCUCUGAGCUUAACUCAGAAACUGCCAUGGAUACUAUUUGUCUUGAAUAUUGUGGAGGUGAGCGGAAUAUGUCAUGUAGCGGUGAAAUGCUUAGAUAUGACAUAGAACACCCAUUGCGAAGGCAGCUCACUACACAAUGAUUGACGCUGAGGCACGAAAGCGUGGGGAUCAAACAGGAUUAGAUACCCUGGUAGUCCACGCCCUAAACGAUGAUUACUCGACAUCAGCGAUACACUGUUGGUGUCUGAGCGAAAGCAUUAAGUAAUCCACCUGGGAAGUACGACCGCAAGGUUG
This 368-nucleotide ribosomal RNA is filed under the name uncultured organism. Its description in RNAcentral is "bacterial SSU rRNA". It matches the Rfam family "Bacterial small subunit ribosomal RNA", at positions 526 to 896 of the family's 1533-position model. The record is from RNAcentral.